AACGAACGCUGGCGGCAUGCCUAACACAUGCAAGUCGAACGAGACCUUCGGGUCUAGUGGCGCACGGGUGCGUAACGCGUGGGAACCUGCCCUUAGGUUCGGAAUAACUCCCCGAAAGGGGUGCUAAUACCGGAUAAUGUCUUCGGACCAAAGAUUUAUCGCCUUUGGAUGGGCCCGCGUUGGAUUAGCUAGUCGGUAGGGUAAAAGCCUACCAAGGCGACGAUCCAUAGCUGGUCUGAGAGGAUGAUCAGCCACACUGGGACUGAGACACGGCCCAGACUCCUACGGGAAGCAGCAGUGGGGAAUAUUGGACAAUGGGCGAAAGCCUGAUCCAGCAAUGCCGCGUGAGUGAUGAAGGCCUUAGGGUUGUAAAGCUCUUUUACCCGGGAUGAUAAUGACAGUACCGGGAGAAUAAGCUCCGGCUAACUCCGUG
Molecule: ribosomal RNA, 433 nt
Filed under: uncultured bacterium
Lineage: Bacteria
Description: partial 16S ribosomal RNA
Rfam family: Bacterial small subunit ribosomal RNA
Source: RNAcentral